GUUUUAAAGACAGACACGAUUGAACGCUAGGUUAUGUAGCCAAGCGCAUUUUUUAGCGAUCCGUCGGAUUUGGCAGUUUUACAUAAAAGGACAAAAAAUUGUUCGGCAUCGUCAAACGAUAAGGUAGCGGCAUAUCAGACUAUACAUAAUGUGGCACACACCUGUUUCAACGGAGGCUGCUGUUUGACUUCGGUACGUUGACGUAAUCGGGUUACAACAGGGUCGCUGAAAACUUCAUGUUUCUGACUUUUCUUUUUGAGUAGAGAACAAAUGGCAUCAUGGAUUCUCUAUGAAGGCAUUGCCGAAUGAUAAUGUUUGAUUGUUUCGCUUAAAUCAUUUAUAGAGAUAUGGAUUGAGUAUAAGUUGAUUAAAUUAUCUCUAUUAUUCACUAUUUUAUUAUUGUACGUAGUUUCAUUAUAGUACUGUAUAAUUUUCUUCACGUUUAUAUUUUAAUUAAUAAGAGAUGAAAUUUUUUUUUAAAAA
Long non-coding RNA from Cephus cinctus (wheat stem sawfly), 483 nucleotides. RefSeq lists it as uncharacterized. NCBI's taxonomy places the organism in Eukaryota, Metazoa, Arthropoda, Insecta, Hymenoptera, Cephidae. The record is from RefSeq and is a predicted model, not a curated record. The transcript has 2 exons.